This is a long non-coding RNA of Brienomyrus brachyistius, 289 nucleotides long. RefSeq lists it as uncharacterized. Lineage: Eukaryota; Metazoa; Chordata; Actinopteri; Osteoglossiformes; Mormyridae. The record is from RefSeq and is a predicted model, not a curated record. The transcript has 3 exons.
CUCCGUCAUCAGGUGAUGUCAGGCGGAACGUGCGUCCAUACGUGGCGAAUCCCAUCAUCAGCUUCUCUACUGGAAAACCUUGGUCUCGCCAAUACCUCAUGGCAAAAUCCUGGAGAGAAAACAUGCAAUAAAUACAUGAGCUGGUGAUAACAGCCUGGACAUCAGUCAGCGGAGCCCUGGUACAGAGGGCUGUUGUGUCCGGUGAAGUUGUCCCAGGCUCCAUGAAAGUCAUAGGUCAUCACAUUGAUAAAGUCCAGGUGACAUGGCCAUGGGUAUAUUCUGAUACUCA